This is a non-coding RNA of Misgurnus anguillicaudatus (oriental weatherfish), 1630 nucleotides long. The record is from RefSeq and is a predicted model, not a curated record. Lineage: Eukaryota; Metazoa; Chordata; Actinopteri; Cypriniformes; Cobitidae.
CAAUCUUUUUUUUUAAGGGCGGAACCAAAGUUCGGGAAGUUUUGGUUCCGCCCGGAAAGUUUCCCCACCGGGCCAUAUAUGAGGACGGACCUUCUCACUUCCUGGUUGCCAGGACGACGGAAUUAGGGCUUGACGAGCUGCAGGUGAGAGGGAUUAAGGCAGCGAAACAGGAUUGGAGGCCGGUUGAAAUAAAUAGCUCUGCUGAAACACAAGAAGGGGAGUUCGGGCACGAGAAGGGAGGCACGCGGGGAAAGCUCCUCUGCCUAGGGCAGGAACAGUAAAUACGUACCUUUUGAAGAGCCCGCAGGCUCUGUUGAUCCGGGCUGCGCUUGGAGCGCGCGGAGAGAAGACAGGAGCUGUCUGGGGCGAAAGGAAGACGAUACGUGGGUGGAGAAAAGGAGCACCCCGAAGAGAGCAUUGUGCUGUCAAGUUUGUUUUAGUGUGUGCAGAGGAACGGAGCUGUGCUCGUGAUAGACGUGGUGGCUGUCUACAUGUUCUCUCUCUCUCUCUCGCUGCAGUCUGCGGUGCAAACGCUGGAGUUAAAGGAAAACCCUACGGGUAGAAGAAACAUUGGUCUGAGGGGCACAUUUAAAAGAGUAAAGCGGGAAGGAAACCGACUUUGUGGCGCAACAUAAAUAAAGGAGGAUCGCUGUGAGUAUCACUCUUGUGUUAAGCACAUGUAAAACUAACCUGUGAAAUUGUGUGGAUACCUCCAGGAGAGGGAGGGCGGCCCUGCCCCUGAAACAGCGUGGUGGGUGAGCCGUUAGAAGCGUCAAUCCAAGCAGCCACAGCAACGAAAUACUAUUCUGGACGUAUUUUCCAUCGCCCUUAUUUCAGCCCAAGUGAAGUGGAGGACGCCGGGCGUUUCCUUGUUGUGUACACUUAUAGUGUGGUGAGUGAGACUUUGCAAUUUAUAAGCUUUUCACGUUGGAGCGGUGCUGUGUAUUUGCUGUGGGUUGCUGUGUGUCUUGUCAGACGAAGCCCCGCAUCAUCCAUUUUUCUACUGGGCAGAGGACGGAGAGGCUAACGACCUCAGAAUUUACAGCUACCAUACGCAGUGUGCUGUUUUGGAGUGUGAAGGGACGCAGAUCAAGAGCUGUCAGUGACUGUGAGUACAAUAUUGGAAAUAUUCGUGGUGCAAACUUACCUGUGUCUGUCCUUGUCGCAGAGUCGGAGGCGAGAGGGUCCGCCGCCCCCGCGGUCUCUACAAAGGGGCGCCCCUGUCCGGGAUUCGAUCGCCCGACGGGCAGUGGAGAUAGGGCAGCGCUCGACCCGGUGAGGUGGUGUGUGACCUUCGCCCCUCUGCUGACCUAUGGAGGAAACCAUACUUAUCAAGAGCUGUAAGAAGCAGAGCAGGCGAGAAGCAUCCAAAGCCCACGUAACAGUGUUUUGUGUCCUAGUGGCCACCUGUGGAGGGAAAGGAGAACGAGAGCGUACAUUAAGAAAACAGACUGACGGCCACCUGUGGAGAGAAAGGAGAACGAGUAAUGCACGCCAAGAGAAUGGACUGUGUGAAGAUCCAGUGGGUGGUGAAGGAGGAGAGCCUAGAGUGGCCAUUAUUUUAAGACCCCCUUUUUUCCCUUCCCUAUUUAUCAUUUUUAAGUAAUUAAAUAAAGUACAUUUUAAUUUA